Molecule: ribosomal RNA, 886 nt
Filed under: uncultured crenarchaeote
Lineage: Archaea; Thermoproteati; Thermoproteota
Description: bacterial SSU rRNA
Rfam family: Archaeal small subunit ribosomal RNA
Source: RNAcentral
AUGCGAGUUGAAUGGGAUACCCAAAGUUCCCAUGGCAAACUGCUCAGUAACACAUGAUCAACUUACCCUAUAGAGGAAAAUAACCUCGGGAAACUGAGGAUAAUAUUCCAUAGUUGAAUCGGCUUGGAAAAGUUUUUCAAUAAAAGGGAUAAGAAAAAUGGUUCUUAUUGCUAUAGGAUAGGAUCGUGCUCGAUUAUGGUUGUUGGUGAGGUAAAGGCUCACCAAGCCGAUAAUCGAUAGGGGCCGUGAGAGCGGGAGCCCCGAGAUGGGUACUGAGACAACGACCCAGGCCUUACGAGGCGCAGCAGGCGCGAAACCUCCGCAAUACACGAAAGUGUGACGGGGUUACCCAAAGUGUUCUAUUUAGAACUGUGGUAGGUGAGUAAUGUCCCCUACUAGAAAGGAGAGGGCAAGGCUGGUGCCAGCCGCCGCGGUAAAACCAGCUCUUCAAGUGGUCGGGAUAAUUAUUGGGCUUAAAGUGUCCGUAGCCGGUUUAGUAAGUUCCUGGUAAAAUCGGGUAGCUUAACUAUCUAUAUGCUAGGAAUACUGCUAUACUAGAGGGCGGGAGAGGUCUGAGGUACUACAGGGGUAGGGGUGAAAUCUUAUAAUCCUUGUAGGACCACCAGUGGCGAAGGCGUCAGACUGGAACGCGCCUGACGGUGAGGGACGAAAGCCAGGGGAGCGAACCGGAUUAGAUACCCGGGUAGUCCUGGCCGUAAACGAUGCAUACUAAGUGAUGGCACGGCCAUGAGCCGUGUCAGUGCCGUAGGGAAACCGUUAAGUGUGCCGCCUGGGAAGUACGGUCGCAAGGCUAAAACUUAAAGGAAUUGGCGGGGGAGCACCACAAGGGGUGAAGCCUGCGGUUCAAUUGGAUUCAACGCCGGAA